CAAGGUUAACCGAAUAGGGGAGCCGAAGGGAAACCGAGUCUUAACUGGGCGUUAAGUUGCAGGGUAUAGACCCGAAACCCGGUGAUCUAGCCAUGGGCAGGUUGAAGGUUGGGUAACACUAACUGGAGGACCGAACCGACUAAUGUUGAAAAAUUAGCGGAUGACUUGUGGCUGGGGGUGAAAGGCCAAUCAAACCGGGAGAUAGCUGGUUCUCCCCGAAAGCUAUUUAGGUAGCGCCUCGUGAAUUCAUCUCCGGGGGUAGAGCACUGUUUCGGCAAGGGGGUCAUCCCGACUUACCAACCCGAUGCAAACUGCGAAUACCGGAGAAUGUUAUCACGGGAGACACACGGCGGGUGCUAACGUCCGUCGUGAAGAGGGAAACAACCCAGACCGCCAGCUAAGGUCCCAAAGUCAUGGUUAAGUGGGAAACGAUGUGGGAAGGCCCAGACAGCCAGGAUGUUGGCUUAGAAGCAGCCAUCAUUUAAAGAAAGCGUAAUAGCUCACUGGUCGAGUCGGCCUGCGCGGAAGAUGUAACGGGGCUAAACCAUGCAC
This 552-nucleotide ribosomal RNA is filed under the name Escherichia coli. Its description in RNAcentral is "partial 23S ribosomal RNA". It matches the Rfam family "Bacterial large subunit ribosomal RNA", at positions 641 to 1194 of the family's 2925-position model. Lineage: Bacteria; Pseudomonadati; Pseudomonadota; Gammaproteobacteria; Enterobacterales; Enterobacteriaceae. The record is from RNAcentral.